GGGGGUAUAGCUUAGUUGUAGAGCAUUCGACUGCAGAUCGAGCGAUCCCCUGUUCAAACCUGGGUGCCCCCU
Trichonephila clavipes is the source of this 72-nucleotide non-coding RNA. NCBI's taxonomy places the organism in Eukaryota, Metazoa, Arthropoda, Arachnida, Araneae, Nephilidae. The record is from the annotation of a GenBank genome assembly.